Molecule: long non-coding RNA, 320 nt
Organism: Notolabrus celidotus (New Zealand spotty)
Lineage: Eukaryota; Metazoa; Chordata; Actinopteri; Labriformes; Labridae
Exons: 2
Source: RefSeq, a predicted model, not a curated record
ACUCUGCUCGUACUGAUUGCAGUUCUCAUGGCGUCUUGGUGCUCCACAAGACCGCUCCAGAAUGAAACGCUGUUUUAAAGAACUUACCUGUGUAUGUGUUGUGGUGACGAGAGCUACACGUAGGGUCCAAUCAGAACUAAACCACCUUGGAAAUCUUUGAGGCUUGAUGGAGCAAAUUAAUGGAAACAAAAGGACAAUUCUUCUAAAAUUGGUAUCUCUGUUCUACAUAAGUGGAAAAAAUAGUGCUGUGUCAUGCAAAUUUCAGUUCUUUUUGUCCUGAGACAUAUUUAUUUAAACCUCAGAUAAAAUAGUGCACAUUA